CCGAGUUCCAGCAGCUCCCAACCCGUGUGAACCGUACCCCCCUCUGUUCUCGUUGCUUCCGGCGGGGGCCCCCAGGCAGCUUCGGCGCGCCUGGGGCGCCCGCCGGGGGCGGCCUGCGCCCCGAACUUCUGAAAAGAAACCCGUCUCCCGGACCGUCUGAGUGGAUUUUAGCGAAUCAAAUCA
RNAcentral lists this unclassified non-coding RNA (183 nucleotides) under uncultured fungus. Its description in RNAcentral is "sequence contains ITS1, 5.8S rRNA gene". Lineage: Eukaryota; Fungi. The record is from RNAcentral.